GCACCAGUGGGGAAUAUUGGGCAAUGGACGCAAGUCUGACCCAGCGACGCCGCGUGCGGGAUGAAGGCCUUCGGGUUGUAAACCGCUUUCAGCAGGGAAGAAGCGAAAGUGACGGUACCUGCAAAAGAAGCACCGGCUAACUAUGUGCCAGCAGCCGCGGUAAUACAUAGGGUGCAAGCGUUGUCCGGAAUUAUUGGGCGUAAAGAGCUCGUAGGUGGUUCGUCACGUCGGAUGUGAAAAUCUGGGGCUCAACCCCAGACCUGCAUUCGAUACGAGCGAGCUAGAGUUUGGUAGGGGAGACUGGAAUUCCUGGUGUAGCGGUGGAAUGCGCAGAUAUCAGGAGGAACACCAAUGGCGAAGGCAGGUCUCUGGGCCAAUACUGACACUGAGGAGCGAGAGCGUGGGGAGCGAACAGGAUUA
Molecule: ribosomal RNA, 420 nt
Filed under: actinobacterium SCGC AAA044-D21
Lineage: Bacteria; Bacillati; Actinomycetota; Actinomycetes
Description: bacterial SSU rRNA
Rfam family: Bacterial small subunit ribosomal RNA
Source: RNAcentral